GGGCAUAUGGUGUAGGGGUUAUCACGUUCGCUUUGCAUCGUAUAUCAAAUCUUCUGCAUGCGAAAGGUCUCCGGUUCAAAUCCGGAUUUGUCCA
This is a non-coding RNA of Gymnopus androsaceus JB14, 94 nucleotides long. The record is from the annotation of a GenBank genome assembly. Lineage: Eukaryota; Fungi; Basidiomycota; Agaricomycetes; Agaricales; Omphalotaceae.